RNAcentral lists this ribosomal RNA (421 nucleotides) under uncultured eukaryote. RNAcentral's name for it is "SSU rRNA". It matches the Rfam family "Eukaryotic small subunit ribosomal RNA", at positions 592 to 1018 of the family's 1831-position model. The record is from RNAcentral.
CAAUAGCGUAUAUUAAAGUUGUUGCGGUUAAAAGCUCGUAGUUGGAUUUCUGUUGAUAACGGCCGGUCCGCACUAUGUGCGUGUAUCAGGUUCGGUGUCGGCAUCCUCGUGGGGAUCGUUUCUGUGCUUGAUUGCAUGGGGCGGAAUUCACGACUUUUACUUUGAGGAAAUUAGAGUGUUCACGGCAAGCUAUCGCUUUGAAUACAUUAGCAUGGAAUAAUGAUAUAGGGCGUAAGUUCUAUUUUGUUGGUUUCUAGGACGUACGCAAUGAUUAAUAGGGAUAAUUGGGGGCAUUCGUAUUAACGCGUCAGAGGUGGAAUUCUUAGAUUGCGUUACGACGAACUACUGCGAAAGCAUUUGCCAAGGAUGUUUUCAUUGAUCAAGAACGAAAGUAUGGGGAUCGAAGACGAUUAGAUACCAU